RNAcentral lists this long non-coding RNA (959 nucleotides) under Physcomitrium patens. RNAcentral describes it as "long non-coding RNA (PPAT_LNC006993)". The record is from RNAcentral. Lineage: Eukaryota; Viridiplantae; Streptophyta; Bryopsida; Funariales; Funariaceae.
AUUGUUAAUAAAUGUAUAAAUUUCGAUUUAAGAUCAAUGGUUCAUUCAUUAGUAAUUGAGAUUUAAAUCUAUUAUAGAAAUUACUAGGAUUUGGUUAAGGUUUGUUUUAGGGUUUAGGAUUUGGUUAAGAUUUGGUUUACGAUUUAGGAUUUGAUUAAGGUUUGAUUUAAGAUUUAAGAUUUGAUUAGAGUUUGAUUUAGAAUUUAAGAUUUAAUUAGAAUUUAAUUUAGGAUUUAUGAUUUGAUUAAGAUUUGGUUAGGAUUUGAUUAAGAUUUAGUUUAGGGUUUAGAAUUUGGCUAGGAUUUAGUUUAGGAUUUAGAAUUUGGCUAGGAUUUGGUUUAGAAUUUAGAAUUUGGUUAGGAUUUGAUUUAGGAUUUAGGAUUUAGGAUUUGAUUUAAGGUCAAGGUUUAAGGUUUGGUUAGGAUUUGGUAUAGGAUUUAGGGUUUGAUUAGGAUUUGGUUUAGGAUUUAGGAUUUUAUUAGGAUUUAUUUAGGUUUUAAAAUUUAGUUAGUUUUUGGCCUAAAGUUUGAGUGAAGUCCAAUAAAAUUUUAACUAGGAUUAAAUGAAGAUUGAAUUAAGAUAUAUUUGAGAUAUAUUUGUGAGCAUUCUAAUAUUUCUUUAAGAUUUCUUAUUAUUUCAUUUUAAUUCUUUUGAGAUUUUUUUAAAUUUGAUUAAAGCUUACUUAGUAUUAUAAUGGUCUAAUUAGAGUUUAAUUAAUAUUUUAUUAAAGCUAAUAUUUUUUAUUAUAAUUUCCAUUCUAUUUUCCACAGCCAGGUGCCCAGAGCAUUGUCAAGCAAGACUUCACAUAUUAUGACAUAUUUUGGUGAAUCCAAUGUGAAAAGCUUGAAGUGAAAGGUAUUUAGAAAUUUUUCUUAGUUUAUUUGAAUUAUAGAAAAAGAAGGCAAGAAGAUGGAAGAUGUUGAGUUUUAUUGGUGGUUAUUGAAAUUGAUCAUCUAGUU